AGAUUGAACGCUGGCGGCAGGCCUAACACAUGCAAGUCGAGCGGUAGAGAGGUGCUUGCACCUCUUGAGAGCGGCGGACGGGUGAGUAAUGCCUAGGAAUCUGCCUAGUGGUGGGGGAUAACGUUCGGAAACGGACGCUAAUACCGCAUACGUCCUACGGGAGAAAGCGGGGGACCUUCGGGCCUCGCGCCAUUAGAUGAGCCUAAGUCGGAUUAGCUAGUUGGUGAGGUAAUGGCUCACCAAGGCGACGAUCCGUAACUGGUCUGAGAGGAUGAUCAGUCACACUGGAACUGAGACACGGUCCAGACUCCUACGGGAGGCAGCAGUGGGAAUAUUGGACAAUGGGCGAAAGCCUGAUCCAGCCAUGCCGCGUGUGUGAAGAAGGUCUUCGGAUUGUAAAGCAACUUUAAGUUGGAGGAAGGUUGUAAACUUAAGUACGUUGCAACUUUGACGUUACCGACAGAAAUAAGCAACCGGCUAACUUCGUGCCAGCAGCCG
RNAcentral lists this ribosomal RNA (498 nucleotides) under uncultured soil bacterium. Its description in RNAcentral is "bacterial SSU rRNA". It matches the Rfam family "Bacterial small subunit ribosomal RNA", at positions 26 to 517 of the family's 1533-position model. The record is from RNAcentral.